UACGUAGGGCGCAAGCGUUAUCCGGAAUUAUUGGGCGUAAAGGGCUCGUAGGCGGUUUGUCGCGUCGGGAGUGAAAACACCGAGCUUAACUGGGUGCUUGCUUCCGUUACGGGCAGACUAGAGGAAUGCAGGGGAGAAUGGAAUUCCUGGUGUAGCGGUGAAAUGCGCAGAUAUCAGGAGGAACACCGGUGGCGAAGGCGGUUCUCUGGGCAUUUCCUGACGCUGAGGAGCGAAAGUGUGGGGAGCGAACAGG
Molecule: unclassified non-coding RNA, 253 nt
Filed under: uncultured Nocardioidaceae bacterium
Lineage: Bacteria; Bacillati; Actinomycetota; Actinomycetes; Propionibacteriales; Nocardioidaceae
Description: contains 16S-23S intergenic spacer region
Rfam family: Bacterial small subunit ribosomal RNA
Source: RNAcentral